This is a long non-coding RNA of Aethalodelphis obliquidens (Pacific white-sided dolphin), 4012 nucleotides long. RefSeq lists it as uncharacterized. The transcript has 7 exons. Lineage: Eukaryota; Metazoa; Chordata; Mammalia; Artiodactyla; Delphinidae. The record is from RefSeq and is a predicted model, not a curated record.
AUUCCGUUGUACGUAUAUAUACAUUCUUUUUCACGUUCUUUUCCAUUAUGGUUUGUCCCAGGAUAUUGGAUCUAGUUCCCUGUGCAAUACAGUAGGGAGAUACAGUAUACAGAUACAGCUUUUUGACAUAAGAGAAGCCAUUUUAGGCCUAAACCAUUUUGUGAUCUAAGCCUGGCCAUAAUGCUUGCCCUUGACUAGAUCUCAGUAAUUAAUGAACUUAAGGGAACAAAGAAAUGAAAAGUAGUCAAGAAACAAUAGUUCAGAGAUAAAAUAGAGUCCUAGUUCCUCCUCAAGGGAUAUACAUCACAAUCUGAUACAGAGCUUUGAGUUCUGCAGGAAUUAAGACCCCUACCCAGGUGGAGGAUGUAACUAUGCUGAGACCCCAGAUUGGUUGGGGCCUAAGGAAAGAGGAUGGUGACCUCUGCUGACCCUCCUGACUUCACUCAACUAAAGCUUGGACUCUGUCAACCUUUGCCCCAAUUCUGUGUUGAAUUCUCUUCAGCUCAAGCCCCUUCAUAAAUAUGCAUGUACCCUUAGCUUAAAACUUUCCCAAUUUUGCAGCUGGGGAGACACUGCUUUGGGAAAGAUCCCCAGUGUUCUCCUGACUUGCUGCGAGCAAGAAAUCCUUCCUUCUCCUGCUCUUCCGUUUGGUUGUCUCUUGGCAGCUAACCCAGUUGUUUUGGUAACAAUGCCGCCACUUUCCAGCCCAGACCCCGCCUCAGUGGGGCAGAUGGAAGCCUUCAUGAAGGCUUGAAGGCUUGUUUGAGGUUGCGGGCAGGUCUCACUGCUUGUCUGCCCGAACAAAAUCAAGCCUGGCAUUUCUGUUUCCCACUAGCCUGACCUCACCACCGGGGUGAGGAUGGAAGGUUUUAUGGCUCCUAAACUUUAAAUCUUUGGGCCCAGAUAUACCAGGACAAAGGAAGAAGAGUUCCUCUCUCCACCAAAGCAAGAGCCUGGUGGGGCCUGAAACUGUCCCUCUCCGGCAUUCCCCAGACAUGCCAUUCUAUGGAGCCCAGGAGAGAUUUAUCCAGGUGCAAGCACUCCAGUAAAAGGUCCCAGGUCCCAGCCUAUCUCAUUCCCAUCACCUUGGCUAAGGCCUCCACCCAUCCCCAGAGCACCGGCUACUGUAGGAAAGAUGGCUGGGAAAUCAUUCUAUGGCUGGUGGCAGUGGAAAGAUGGAGUUCUGUGCAUGAACGUGGAAUGUGUGCACGUUGGAGCAACGAAAGUCAAGGACCACCUGUAACCGGUCAACUUGUGCAAGUCACUGGCCUCUGGAAAGGGCACCCCCAAAAUUGUCUUUGGAGAAGAGAAGCAGGAUGGAGGAUGAAUUCCAUGCCCAGAUGUGCCAUGGAUGGAAUCACCCAGACAGCCUCCAGCGUUUUAUGUUCUGUAGCGUCUCUGUACGUGAUGGAGCAAGAAGAUGUUUCAUUUUCUUCAUUGUUAUUUGAGUUGUGCCUUCCAUGUCAGCAGUAAAAGAGGAUACGUGUCGGAGUCCCAGAGAAUUCCCUGGAAACCAAAGUCUUCUCCAUCUCACUUUCAGCAGCCAAGAACCCAUGAAUAUGCAGGGCGGACUGUACUGGAUUUCUAUAAAGCCACUGCUCCCCCAGAUGAGCCUUAUUCAUUCUCCUAAAAACAAUGGGGCUUUUCUCCAGAAAACUCCUCCAUCAAUAUUGAAAAGGCUGGGUGGGAACUUGUCACCAGGAUGAACAACUAUUAGAGAGGUGUUAAAGAUAGAAUAGCACCAAAUUAAGACUUUCUUCUUGAGUGAUCAGUAUUGAAAGAGAAUAAAAAAGGUAUCAAGAGGGGGUAUAUGGAAACUCCCUGUACUUUCUGCUCAAUAUCUCUUAAACCUAAAACUCUUAAGAAAAAAAGCCUAUUAAUUUUUUUGAGUGUACUCAUAAAAAUAAAAUUAAGAGUUCUAAAUUGAACAACAACGAAAAGGACCAACAUUCUCCCUGAAUGAGUCAAGGCUAUUUAAUGCUGCAUUCCCCAUACUACCCCAAAUCAUCAGAAAUUACUACCUGAAAUUACCUCUCAUGGUCACAUGGGUCCAUGGCUUCCAUUUUGUGAAAACGUAGCCAACAUCUGAUUAUAUGAAAAAAUAAGAGGAAAAAGGCAGAGAUGGGAUGGUUUCCUACUGAUGGCAGAAUGAAGUUGUGAAUCACUCAUCUUUCUGCCAAAGCCGUUCGUGAUCUGGUCCUCAUGUUCAUGUUUGCCCUCCUGCCAUUGCCCACAGACCCCAGGCAUUAUCAUUAUGUCAAACUCUGUACUCUUCCCUGCAUCUGGAAUUUCCUCCCCACAUCUCUGCCUGUCAAAUCUUCUUCAGGAUCACCCAGCACACACACCAUUCCUUCAAAUGGGCCCACACAGUCACGUGAAGCCUCCCUCGGCUAUCCCAGAUGGGGAGAGCGUUCUUUCUCUUGGGUGUCUGUGGAGCUGUGUGUGCACAACCAUUAGAGCCACCAUCUUUUGUGGGGUGUGAUGGAUUUUUACCUCUGCCUAGGGUACCAGAUAAAAUACAUGGUGCCUAGUAAAAUUUGACUUUCGGGUAAACAAAGGAUAAUUUUUAGUGUAAGUAUGUCCCAUGUAGUAUUUAACUGGGUGUCCUGUAUUUUUUAUUUGCUAAACCUAGCAACCCUGUGUUUGUCUCCCGUGAGACUUAGCUUCCUAGGAAAAGGGUGGUAGCUUUCCAUCCCUGUGCCUGCAGUACCAAGGACAUUACCAAGCACUUAGUAGAAGCUUGGUAACUAUUAGAUGGAGAAAUGGCGGCAUGAAUGACUUCUGCCCAGACUCACACAGGAAACCCUACGAUUGCAAAUAAUGCCAGGAAUACAUUUCUAUUCCUGCCUAGAAAUGCAGGUUUGGAAGAGGGAAAGAUAAUGUGCUCAAAUCUAAUACAUUCAUAAUCUACAGACUAGAAGGAGCGAAGCUGUCUCUACAUUGUUCUCUAGCUUGUCUUCAACACAUAUAAAAACAAGUCACAGACGGCUUGGUUUCUGUAGACGUUACAGGUCUAUAGUCGGCUCCCACACAGAUCACAUUAUGAGGGUGAGAACUUGGUCUACUGAAUCCAAAGCCAGGCAUGAUGAAUAGUAGCCACAGCCAAGAGCAAAUCUACCCCAUGUUAGGGCCGGUUCUGUCCCUAUUAUUCAGGUAGGCAAUGAAUCACCGUGUUUUGCUUUCAGGCCUUCCUGUGAGGGCGGUGUGUGGUGAUGGAAGAAAUCACAGGCUCUAAAGUCAGAUAAACCUGGAUUUGCAGUUAUGACUCAGCCACUGCCAGGCCAGAGGCCUCGCUGGAGCUCAGUUUUCUCAUCUGUAAACUGGGCUAUCGUGGAUACCUCCCAAAGGUCGAGAGCCAGUUUCUUCCUCUAGCUCCCGAAGAGCAGCUGCUUCUGGGCUCUCAUUACCAUCUGCGACACCUGCAGAGAAUUCUAGGCAUUAGCCUCCCAUUGGUGGGCGGAACUGCUUCCUUCGCCAGGACGAUGCCCUUAUAAUGAAGACUUCUUUGCAGCUCAGGGAAAACUGCCACUGUCCUUUCCUGGUUGUCUGCUUCACAGUCUCCCAAGUGCCUAUUUUACCAGUAGGAUCCAUAGCCAUCCAUGGGCUUCUUGGAAAAGGAGAAGGAAUCUGGAAGCAGCAAGAGGAGGGGUUUUCCUGACUUCCUGGACCCUGGUGUACAAGGAGCCCAUACUUGAGAAGAGCAGAAGUUUCAGAUAAGAAAGGAAAACUGAGGCACCGGGAGGUCAACGCCUGCUCAGGGUCACAAGUGCGUCACUCCGGCGGGACUUUCAACCCGCAUAAGCUGUCUGCUUCGCAGGAUCCCAGCCACCUCCCGGCCGUCACUACCGCACUAAAAUGCUGUGUCACGCUGGAGCAGCAGGUUCCCCGUUAAAGUGAAAAAAACAGGAAGGAGGGAAGAGAAGAGAACCUUCGCGAUAAACUCCGGUAAGGAGGCGGAGGUGCACAAGCAGAAACACUUCCUGGUGAUCGUUACUCAGCAUUUUGUGGGGUU